Alnus glutinosa is the source of this 1615-nucleotide RNA transcript. RefSeq lists it as uncharacterized. The record is from RefSeq and is a predicted model, not a curated record. The transcript has 7 exons. NCBI's taxonomy places the organism in Eukaryota, Viridiplantae, Streptophyta, Magnoliopsida, Fagales, Betulaceae.
AGAGAGAAAGAGAAGCAGAGAGAGAGAGAGAGAGAGAGAGACAGAGAAAAUUUGAGAGAGAGAGACAGAGAGAGAGAGAAAGAGGGUGUCCGUUAAUUUCCGUUAAUAUUUUUGUAUUUUGGGAGUGCGAGCAACGAUGGUUACAGACGAAGAGCUAUCCCGAGCCAUAGAGUCGCUCUUCAACGACGACAACCCUAACCACAACGCUAACCCUAACCCCAGAGCGUUCACCACCCUAAACGGUGUCGUUCAGGAUCUGGAGUCCAAGCUUGGGCUCGACCUCUCCCACAAGGUCGACUUCAUUCGAGCCCAGAUCCACCUCCUCUUCCGAUCCCACCCACCACCACCACCACCACCACCAAGAGACCAUUUUGCCCUCCACCAAAACCCUAAUUUCCACCCCGGUCCCUCCCCAGUGUCCUCCGCCUUCCAGAGCUUCUCGGCUCAGCCCCUUCCCCAGCCGCCGGCUAAGCCCGAACCCGACGCCGCCGCCGUUGCUGAGGCCCCGACGGUUAGUGCUCAACCUAAAGCAACUAAGAGAAAAGGUGGGCCUGGGGGUCUAAACAAACUUUGCGGUGUUUCGCCUGAACUUCAGGCUAUUGUUGGCCAGCCAGCAUUGCCAAGGACUGAGAUUGUGAAGCAGCUGUGGGCUUACAUAAGAAAACACAAUCUUCAAGAUCCAAGUAACAAAAGGAAAAUAAUCUGCAAUGAUGAGCUGCGUUUGGUAUUUGAGACAGACUGUACAGACAUGUUCAAGAUGAACAAGUUGCUAGCUAAACAUAUCAUUGCUCUAGAACCAACUAAACAGCCAAGUUCUAAGAAGCCGAAGGUAGAUGUGGAGCCUGCAAUGAAAAUUAGUGAAUCUGGUCCUUCUGUAAUAAUAUCUGAAGCACUUGCAAACUUCUUUGGAGUUGGUGGAAGGGAGAUGCUGCAGUCAGAGGUUUUAAGACGGAUCUGGGAAUAUAUAAAGCUCAACAAUCUGGAGGAUCCGAUAAAUCCCAUGGCAAUACUAUGUGAUGCAAAGCUUCAAGAGCUCUUUGGUUGUGAAAGCAUUUCUGCAUUGGGUAUACCAGAAGUUUUGGUGCGCCAUCAUAUAUUCAGGAAACCACUAUGCUGAUCAUGUUACUGAUUGGUAGGGUGCAUUGCAACUUUUAAAGUUUUGGGAGAACACUGCUAAAUUUGGUCGUAGUUUGAAGGGUUGCAAUUGCAAAUACAUGGUACUGAAGCCAGUAUGUAAGGUGACGCCUAGGAAAGCUGAUAUGUUUCUGUAUAUUGAUAACUUAGUUGUUCUGUCCUCUGUCCGAGUUUGUACGUAUGAACACAAUGAAGAUGUACUAUGGGCUUGUGGCAUGUUCUAUUUUGCUGUUGGAGCCAUGGUCCCAUGGUCUUAAUUUGUCUGACUAUCUUAGGUUAGAAUAACGCUUGGGAGUUUCUAACACCAGUAAAGUCCAGACAGUAGAGAAAGAAGAUAAUUUGUAAUAGAUGAUAUAACUUGUUUUUUUUUUUUUUUUUAAACACAUGGAAGAUGGUCUUUAUUUAGAUUUUUAUCAACUGCGUAUUAUGUACUGUGCAUGUAAAGAAAAUUUUAGGGAAAUGUUCAGUUCUUGGUUUUAUA